UAAGUGGGAAACGAUGUGGGAAGGCCCAGACAGCCAGGAUGUUGGCUUAGAAGCAGCCAUCAUUUAAAGAAAGCGUAAUAGCUCACUGGUCGAGUCGGCCUGCGCGGAAGAUGUAACGGGGCUAAACCAUGCACCGAAGCUGCGGCAGCGACGCUUAUGCGUUGUUGGGUAGGGGAGCGUUCUGUAAGCCUGUGAAGGUGUGCUGUGAGGCAUGCUGGAGGUAUCAGAAGUGCGAAUGCUGACAUAAGUAACGAUAAAGCGGGUGAAAAGCCCGCUCGCCGGAAGACCAAGGGUUCCUGUCCAACGUUAAUCGGGGCAGGGUGAGUCGACCCCUAAGGCGAGGCCGAAAGGCGUAGUCGAUGGGAAACAGGUUAAUAUUCCUGUACUUGGUGUUACUGCGAAGGGGGGACGGAGAAGGCUAUGUUGGCCGGGCGACGGUUGUCCCGGUUUAAGCGUGUAGGCUGGUUUUCCAGGCAAAUCCGGAAAAUCAAGGCUGAGGCGUGAUGACGAGGCACUACGGUGCUGAAGCAACAAAUGCCCUGCUUCCAGGAAAAGCCUCUAAGCAUCAGGUAACAUCAAAUCGUACCCCAAACCGACACAGGUGGUCAGGUAGAGAAUACCAAGGCGCUUGAGAGAACUCGGGUGAAGGAACUAGGCAAAAUGGUGCCGUAACUUCGGGAGAAGGCACGCUGAUAUGUAGGUGAAGUCCCUCGCGGAUGGAGCUGAAAUCAGUCGAAGAUACCAGCUGGCUGCAACUGUUUAUUAAAAACACAGCACUGUGCAAACACGAAAGUGGACGUAUACGGUGUGACGCCUGCCCGGUGCCGGAAGGUUAAUUGAUGGGGUCAGCGCAAGCGAAGCUCUUGAUCGAAGCCCCGGUAAACGGCGGCCGUAACUAUAACGGUCCUAAGGUAGCGAAAUUCCUUGUCGGGUAAGUUCCGACCUGCACGAAUGGCGUAAUGAUGGCCAGGCUGUCUCCACCCGAGACUCAGUGAAAUUGAACUCGCUGUGAAGAUGCAGUGUACCCGCGGCAAGACGGAAAGACCCCGUGAACCUUUACUAUAGCUUGACACUGAACAUUGAGCCUUGAUGUGUAGGAUAGGUGGGAGGCUUAGAAGUGUGGACGCCAGUCUGCAUGGAGCCGACCUUGAAAUACCACCCUUUAAUGUUUGAUGUUCUAACGUUGACCCGUAAUCCGGGUUGCGGACAGUGUCUGGUGGGUAGUUUGACUGGGGCGGUCUCCUCCUAAAGAGUAACGGAGGAGCACGAAGGUUGGCUAAUCCUGGUCGGACAUCAGGAGGUUAGUGCAAUGGCAUAAGCCAGCUUGACUGCGAGCGUGACGGCGCGAGCAGGUGCGAAAGCAGGUCAUAGUGAUCCGGUGGUUCUGAAUGGAAGGGCCAUCGCUCAACGGAUAAAAGGUACUCCGGGGAUAACAGGCUGAUACCGCCCAAGAGUUCAUAUCGACGGCGGUGUUUGGCACCUCGAUGUCGGCUCAUCACAUCCUGGGGCUGAAGUAGGUCCCAAGGGUAUGGCUGUUCGCCAUUUAAAGUGGUACGCGAGCUGGGUUUAGAACGUCGUGAGACAGUUCGGUCCCUAUCUGCCGUGGGCGCUGGAGAACUGAGGGGGGCUGCUCCUAGUACGAGAGGACCGGAGUGGACGCAUCACUGGUGUUCGGGUUGUCAUGCCAAUGGCACUGCCCGGUAGCUAAAUGCGGAAGAGAUAAGUGCUGAAAGCAUCUAAGCACGAAACUUGCC
RNAcentral lists this ribosomal RNA (1754 nucleotides) under Escherichia coli. RNAcentral describes it as "partial 23S ribosomal RNA". It matches the Rfam family "Bacterial large subunit ribosomal RNA", at positions 1060 to 2798 of the family's 2925-position model. Lineage: Bacteria; Pseudomonadati; Pseudomonadota; Gammaproteobacteria; Enterobacterales; Enterobacteriaceae. The record is from RNAcentral.